AGAGUUUGAUCCUGGCUCAGAAUUAACGCUGGUGGCGUGCAUAACACAUGCAAGUCGAACGUGAUCUAUAGUUUUUGAGACUUCGGUCAAGAAAGCUAUAGUGAGAGUGGCAAACGGGUGAGUAACACGUGAGUAACCAACCUUCGAGUGGGGGACAACUUCGGGAAACCGGAGCUAAUACCGCAUAAGACCACGAUUUUGAUUAAAUUGAGGUCAAAGAAGUAAUUCGCUUGAAGACGGGCUCGCGGCCUAUUAGCUUGUUGGUGAGGUAAUGGCUCACCAAGGCAACGACGGGUAGCCGACCUGAAAGGGUGACCGGCCACACUGGAACUUAGACACGGUCCAGACUCCUACGGGAGGCAGCAGUGGGGAAUCUUGCGCAAUGGGGGAAACCCUGACGCAGCAACGCCAUGUGAAGGAUGAAGGUCUUAGGAUUGUAAACUUCUGUCAAGAGAGAAGAAGCUCUGACGGUAUCUCUAGAGGAAGCACCGGCUAACUCCGUGCCAGCAGCCGCGGUAAUACGGAGGGUGCAAGCGUUAUUCGGAAUUACUAGGUGUAAAGGGUGCGUAGGUGGUAUAGUAAGUCAAGUGUGAAAUUCCAUAGCUCAACUGUGGAGCUGCAUUUGAAACUGCUAAACUUGAGUGUAGGAGGGGAAAACGGAAUUCCUGGUGUAGCGGUGAAAUGCGUAGAUACCAGGAGGAACACCGGAGGCGAAAGCGGUUUUCUGGCCUAUUUCUGACACUGAGGCACGAAAGCUAGGGGAGCAAACAGGAUUAGAUACCCUGGUAGUCCUAGCUGUAAACGAUGUUCACUUAGCAUGGGGGGUAUAAAUUCCUUUCGUGCUGUAGCUAACGCGAUAAGUGAACCACCUGGGGAGUACGGCCGCAAGGCUGAAACUCAAAGGAAUUGACGGGGGCCCGCACAAGCGGUGGAGUAUGUGGUUUAAUUCGACUCAACGCGAAGAACCUUACCUGGACUUGACAUGCUUUUGAAUAUUAUAGAAAUAUAAUAGUCCUUCGGGACAAUUGCACAGGUGCUGCAUGGCUGUCGUCAGCUCGUGUCGUGAGAUGUUGGGUUAAGUCCCGCAACGAGCGCAACCCUUAUCAUUAGUUACUAACUCUGAUUAAUCUCAGAGAGGACUCUAGUGAAACUGCCUCGGAUAACGAGGAGGAAGGUGGGGAUGACGUCAAGUCCUCAUGGCCCUUAUGUCCAGGGCUACACACGUACUACAAUGGCCGGUACAGAGGGUUGCAAGACCGUAAGGUGGAGCUAAUCCCAAAAAGCCGGUCCCAGUUCGGAUUGAGGGCUGCAAUUCGCCCUCAUGAAGUUGGAAUCGCUAGUAAUCGCGGAUCAGCAUGCCGCGGUGAAUACGUUCCCGGGCCUUGUACACACCGCCCGUCACACCACGAAAGUCAGUUGUAACAGAAGUCGCUGGGUUAACCCUAACUUUGUUAGGGAAACAGGCGCCCAAGUUAC
This 1476-nucleotide ribosomal RNA is filed under the name metagenome. RNAcentral describes it as "bacterial SSU rRNA". It matches the Rfam family "Bacterial small subunit ribosomal RNA". The record is from RNAcentral.